CCUUGUUUCACUCCAAAUAUAUGUGCCACAAGGCACACACGUGGCGUAGGGACCCUGGCAUAGGGACCUUCAUCCUCUGACACAACAGUGACAAGGAGGUCAGACAUGUCCAGCAUGCCCUACAUGGGAGCAGGCUUGGAGAAGACCCAAGCAUGUCCCGUAAGGACAUGCCAGCCUCUGUCCAUGCGCAGUGGUGGCCGUGUGUCUCAGCCUUUCCUGCUUUCGCUUCUCUUCACAGGAUUUACUUCUGCCCUGGUGAUCGAUGGUCUCUUGUUGGGCUGGAAAACAGCACAAACAGAGGCAUUUACAAACCCGCUGUCUCUCCAGCAGGGCCAUAACUCAGGCUCUCCGUCACCACGGGAAAUGGGAGGCAGGCGUUCCUGCUCCGGCUGCAGCGAUAGCGCCGAUCCUUCCCCUCUCGUGGGAGGCUCCCGGGUCGGCAGCGUCACGCCUGGAGGGUUGGCCGCUCGCUGA
Molecule: long non-coding RNA, 474 nt
Filed under: Apteryx owenii (little spotted kiwi)
Lineage: Eukaryota; Metazoa; Chordata; Aves; Apterygiformes; Apterygidae
Description: lncRNA (ENSAOWG00000005179.1)
Source: RNAcentral